This 400-nucleotide ribosomal RNA is filed under the name uncultured bacterium. Its description in RNAcentral is "bacterial SSU rRNA". It matches the Rfam family "Bacterial small subunit ribosomal RNA", at positions 355 to 747 of the family's 1533-position model. The record is from RNAcentral.
UGGGGAAUAUUGGACAAUGGGCGCAAGCCUGAUCCAGCAAUGCCGCGUGGGUGAAGAAGGCCUUCGGGUUGUAAAGCCCUUUUGUACGGGAAGAAAUCCUGUCGGUUAAUACCCGGCGGGGAUGACGGUACCGUAAGAAUAAGCACCGGCUAACUUCGUGCCAGCAGCCGCGGUAAUACGAAGGGUGCAAGCGUUAAUCGGAAUUACUGGGCGUAAAGCGUGCGUAGGCGGUUGGCUAAGUCAGAUGUGAAAGCCCUGGGCUCAACCUGGGAAUGGCAUUUGAAACUGGCUGGCUAGAGUGUGAUAGAGGAUGGCGGAAUUCCCGGUGUAGCGGUGAAAUGCGUAGAGAUCGGGAGGAACAUCCGUGGCGAAGGCGGCCAUCUGGAUCAACACUGACGCU